UCCCUGGUGGUCCAGGGGUUAAGAUUCUGCAUUCCCACUGUGGGGGCAUGGGUUCAAUCCCCAGCUGGGGAA
This 72-nucleotide transfer RNA is filed under the name Capra hircus (goat). It matches the Rfam family "tRNA". From Rfam's summary of the family: Transfer RNA (tRNA) molecules are approximately 80 nucleotides in length. Their secondary structure includes four short double-helical elements and three loops (D, anti-codon, and T loops). Further hydrogen bonds mediate the characteristic L-shaped molecular structure. tRNAs have two regions of fundamental functional importance: the anti-codon, which is responsible for specific mRNA codon recognition, and the 3' end, to which the tRNAs corresponding amino acid is attached (by aminoacyl-tRNA synthetases). tRNAs cope with the degeneracy of the genetic code in two manners: having more than one tRNA (with a specific anti-codon) for a particular amino acid; and 'wobble' base-pairing, i.e. permitting non-standard base-pairing at the 3rd anti-codon position. The record is from Rfam by way of RNAcentral. RNAcentral also lists the same sequence under 1 other name. Lineage: Eukaryota; Metazoa; Chordata; Mammalia; Artiodactyla; Bovidae.